UUUUCUCGAAUUUAUAAGAGCUAAGAAUAUAUAAAUUUUAAUGUAGAAGAAUUAUUUAUAAUAUAUUUUUUGAUAUUAUACGUUAGUCGGGUAUAAAUAUAUCUAGUUUUUUAAGAAAUUAAUUUAAUUAAGCUAAUUGUGAGGGUGAUUUAUUUUGUAAAUAUACCUAAUAAUUAAGUAAUAUUUAAGGGGAUAAGCUUUUAAAUAGAAGUUUAAAAGAAGUUUAUAUUUUAAAGUUGAAUAGGAAUAGAAGUUUUCAUUUUUUGUAGUGUUUUAUAUCAAGACUUUAAUUUAAGUGAUUUGUUUUUUUUUAGUUUGUUUAUUAAAAUAUUAAAAUUAAUUUGAUAGUUUUAGGUAAUAAUGAUAAAAUUAGUAUAGAAAUUUGUUUAAGUGUUUAUGAAUAUAAAUUUUAAUUAAGGAAUUCGGCAAAUAUAUUUUCUGCCUGUUUAUUAAAAACAUGGCUUUUUGGGAAUAAUUUAAGGUCAGGCCUGCCCCAUGAUUAAUUAAAUGGCCGCGGUACUCUGACCGUGCAAAGGUAGCAUAAUCAUUAGUUUUUUAAUUGAAAGCUGGAAUGAACGGUCUUACAAGAAAAUUACUGUCUCAAUUAAAUGAUUUUAGAAUUUUAUUUUUUAGUUAGAAAGCUAAAAUGUUUUUAGGGGACGAGAAGACC
RNAcentral lists this ribosomal RNA (670 nucleotides) under Velutinodorcus velutinus. Its description in RNAcentral is "partial 16S ribosomal RNA". The stretch from base 396 to 646 matches the Rfam family "Archaeal large subunit ribosomal RNA", at positions 1784 to 2143 of the family's 2987-position model. Lineage: Eukaryota; Metazoa; Arthropoda; Insecta; Coleoptera; Lucanidae. The record is from RNAcentral.